This 1849-nucleotide long non-coding RNA is filed under the name Theobroma cacao (cacao). Its description in RNAcentral is "long non-coding RNA (TCAC_LNC001574)". The record is from RNAcentral. Lineage: Eukaryota; Viridiplantae; Streptophyta; Magnoliopsida; Malvales; Malvaceae.
AUCCAAUAACCUUUAACUCAGGAAAACCUAAAACAUGAAUUUUUAAAAACGUGAGUACAAACUCAAUGAGUGAACAUAGGAAGGGAACAAGCAACGUUGAGGAAGGUUUUGAAAUCAUGAUGUACAUCUUUGAAAACAAUGCAACUUAGUUCACGUUCUUAUUAAAAUCCCUCCAUCAAACCCCUGGUUAUUAAAUCAUUUCAUAAUAAAGGAACCAUAUUUAGCAUGAAAUUGGAAAGAGAGAAAAUUUUCAGCAAUCAUCCAAGCAAGGCAGUAUAAACAGAAUGUUUCUUGCUACAAUAAAAUCAACUCACAAGAAAAUGGGAAAUUUUCAAGAUUCAUCAUGCCAUAUAAUCAUAUAUUAUAAUCAUAAUCUUUCUAUUGUAUAUACAUAUACUUAAGCAUAUAUCAAUUAGUAUACCACCACAUCUCAUCCAGCUCAUGUGCAUCAUUACCGGCAUGUGCACUGCCCACUCCGCACAUGCACGGUUACAUCAAUUAUACAAAAUUACUUAACAAUAUAUAUAUGUAUCAUAUAUCUUUAUAUACAUAUCAGCGUCAUAUAGAAAUACAUAGAUUCAUCACAAUCAUGUUCCACAUCACAAAAACAUUUCACUUAAGGCUUGUUCCCGUGCAAGUUUUUGAAGAAAAACCAAUAAAACAUUUUAGGGGAUUCAAUCAAACAUAAAUGUGUAUAUCCCAAAACAUUUUAAUGCAAGUUCACUCACCUCGCAACAACGAGAUAUUAAAUCGUUAUUUGUUCGGAGGUAUCUCUAACUAUUUUCACUAGCUGGUCGCUCGAUGUUUACUCCGGCACUCCACCACAGUACUCUAACCUUAUCUUUGCACUCCUAACAAUAAUACGAACUCAAUAUAUUUAAUUAUAUACGUACACGGGCAACACUUCAAUCAAUUAAUCCUUACUCAAAUUUAUAUUUUUCAUCCUAUCAUGAAACCAUCUUCAAUUAACUCACAUCUUAAUACAUUUUUACUAAAAUUACUUAUAUCCAUUGCUUACGUAAUUCCUUAAAUUCAUCCUAUCGUGAAACCAUCUUCAAUUAACUCACAUCUUAAUACAUUUUUACUAAAAUUACUUAUAUCCAUUGCUUACGUAAUUCCUUAAAUUACAUCACCGGUAACUUAAUUAUGAUGUCACGUGUCUACUUCAACCUUUCUAAAUAAUUUUCACCCAAAUCCAUCUUAUAUUCCACACAUAAUCCACAUAUAUGGCAGCAACAAUCAUUCUCACUUUCACUCGAUUAUUUUUUAGUUUACAUGCAUUGUUAUCUAUCUAACUUUCAAUACAUUGUUUCUCAAUCCUCCAUCCACAAUAUUCCUUUUUCAUUUCUUUCAAACAACAUGCCAUACAAUCUUAAUAAUUUUCAACUAGCUUAGGCAAAUAAAUCCUUUCAACAACCAUAAUUCCUCACAAUAUUCAACUAAUCGUAGGUUUUAAAACAUAGUGUUAAGCUUACCGUUUUCCUUUUCUACUUUGAGUCCUUCAUGUACCCAUGGGUUUAUUGGCUUACAUGUUACCAAUUUUUCUCUAAUCAAGCCAAUCUUUGCUGCCACAAGACAUUUCUCUAAGUCACUAACUCAUUUUCAAAAACUACUCAAGCCAAAAACAAGAAUUAUUACCGUUCCUUGCUUGAAUCACCAAAAUCAAGCUUUUUCUUCCUUUCUCUCUUUUUCUUUCUUCUCCUCCUAGGAUUUAGAUGUGCUGGAAAUUUGGGUUAAAGGCUGUAAAUUUAGUGCUCAAGAAGUUUGGAGAAGAAAGGAAAAGAAAAUAUGGAAAGGAAAAAUGAAGAAAACUUGGUUUCAUGGUGGACAAAGAGAAAAUGGCAUGGAA